Molecule: ribosomal RNA, 460 nt
Filed under: uncultured bacterium
Lineage: Bacteria
Description: partial 16S ribosomal RNA
Rfam family: Bacterial small subunit ribosomal RNA
Source: RNAcentral
CCUACGGGUGGCAGCAGUGAGGAAUAUUGGUCAAUGGGCGCGAGCCUGAACCAGCCAAGUAGCGUGAAGGAUGACUGCCCUACGGGUUGUAAACUUCUUUUAUAAAGGAAUAAAGUGAGGCACGUGUGCCUUUUUGUAUGUACUUUAUGAAUAAGGAUCGGCUAACUCCGUGCCAGCAGCCGCGGUAAUACGGAGGAUCCGAGCGUUAUCCGGAUUUAUUGGGUUUAACGGGAGCGUAGAUGGGUUGUUAAGUCAGUUGUGAAAGUUUGCGGCUCAACCGUAAAAUUGCAAUUGAUACUGGCAGUCUUGAGUACAGUUGAGGUAGGCGGAAUUCGUGGUGUAGCGGUGAAAUGCUUAGAGAUCACGAAGAACUCCGAUUGCGAAGGCAGCUUACUAGACUGGCACUGACGUUGAGGCGCGAAAGUGUGGGUAGCAAACAGGAUUAGAUACCCUUGUAGUC